UCUUUCUUUCUUUCUUCUUCUCUGUUCUUCCUUUCCUUAUCUCAGUCAAUCUCAAAUUAGAGAUUUUGAUCGUGAAUCUUGUUCGAGUAAGCUUAGGAGUUCGGUAAUCAUUUGGUGUUAAAGUUGGUUUAAGUUUAUAUGAAGAAGGAAUGACGUAUCAAAGAGAAACAUAAAUGUCAGGGUUAGAGUGUAGUUCUUGAGAUGGAGUAAUCAACAGAAGAUUUGAGUUUCUGAUAGAUGAAGAACCAAUGGGUUUUAAGUAAUUGAAGAGGUGAAGCUUUUCUGAUAAAGAAUCGAAAAACAGUUAGUCUAUAUUAACAACGAAUGAUUCCAAGGAUUUACCAGUGGAUUGUGGAUUUCAAGUUAGGCGUGGCUUGGCAUCAAAUCAGUUUUCAGUAAUCAGAAGAAAAGGUGCGCUCGAAGAUAACCAUUUUGUGGCUUAAAGCUUUUAUCGUAUUAGUUUUCAGUAAUCAGAAUAAAAGGUGCGCUCGAAGAUAACCGUUUUGUGGCUUAAAGAUUUUAUCGUAUUAGAGAUGUUGCGUAGCUUUUGUAUAUGUAUAUUUUUGUUAAUCUGUAAAAUAACACAUUAUUAUAUUGAUAUCACUCGAGAUAUCUUCAUUUAUAUAA
Papaver somniferum (opium poppy) is the source of this 627-nucleotide long non-coding RNA. RefSeq lists it as uncharacterized. The record is from RefSeq and is a predicted model, not a curated record. NCBI's taxonomy places the organism in Eukaryota, Viridiplantae, Streptophyta, Magnoliopsida, Ranunculales, Papaveraceae. The transcript has 4 exons.